Molecule: small RNA, 496 nt
Filed under: Pongo abelii (Sumatran orangutan)
Lineage: Eukaryota; Metazoa; Chordata; Mammalia; Primates; Hominidae
Description: processed transcript
Source: RNAcentral
CAGGCCAUCACCUCCUGCAACUCCACCACCCAAAACUCGGCAUUCCCCAACACCCCAGCAGUCAAACCGUACAAGAAAAAGUCGUGUUUCUGUGUCUCCAGGGAGAACUUCAGUGACAAAACAUAAAGGUACUGAGAAAAGAGAAUCCCCUUCACCAGCACCGAAGCCUAGAAAAGUAGAGUUAUCUGAAUCGGAAGAUAAAGGUGGCAAAAUGGCUGCAGCAGAUUCUGUGCAGCAGAGACGCCAAUACAGACGACAAAACCAGCAGUCUUCAUCUGACUCUGGCUCCUCCUCCUCCUCAGAAGAUGAACGACCCAAGAGAUCCCAUGUGAAGAAUGGUGAGGUUGGCAGGCGGCGGAGACAUUCCCCUUCCCGGAGUGCUUCUCCAUCACCACGAAAGCGCCAAAAAGAGACUUCCCCUCGGAUGCAGAUGGGAAAGCGAUGGCAAUCGCCAGUGACUAAAAGUGGUAGACGGAGGAGAAGUCCAUCCCCACCA